CUGACCCGUCCCGAGUGCCAAAGCUGGGGUUCUGCUUGAGAUUUCCCUCGUGGUGCCAGGGUCCGGCGAGCGUCACGCCGAGGCCCAUUUUCCAGACGACCACGACGACGCCGGGGUCACGAACUCUGGCGCCCCUUACCAGCUUCCAGUCUCUCGAGGUGGCCUGUGUGGUGCUUGGUCCUUGUUUCCAGGAUGGACUUCCCCGGCUCCCUCCGCCCUGCGUUGUUUCUGACCGGCCCCCUUGGUCUGAGCGACGUCCCUGACCUCUCUUUCAUGUGCAGCUGGCAAGACGCGCUGACUCUGCCAGAGGCCCAGCCCCAGAACUCAGAGAAUGGGGCACUGCAUGUGACCAAGGACCUGCUGUGGGAGCCAGCAACCCCUGGGCCUCUCCCCAUGCUGCCUCCCCUCAUCGAUCCCUGGGACCCUGGCCUGACUGCCCGGGACCUGCUUUUCCGCGGAGGGUACCGGUAUCGGAAGCGGCCCCGAGUCGUGCUGGAUGUUACUGAGCAGGUGAGUGGGCCCACGGGGGACAGUGCUGCGUAGCCUGGAGACUGUGCUUAGUGACCUGGCCUCCUCUUCUCCCCAGAUCAGCCGGUUCCUCUUGGAUCAUGGAGACGUAGCCUUUGCGCCCCUGGGGAAGCUGAUGCUGGAGAAUUUCAAGCUGGAGGGAGUGGGGAGCCGCACUAAGAAGAAGACAGUGGUCAGUGUGAAGAAGCUGCUCCAGGACCUCGGUGGACACCAGCCCUGGGGGUGUCCCUGGGCUUACCUCAGCAACCGACAGCGCCGCUUCUCUAUCCUCGGGGGCCCCAUCCUGGGCACGUCGGUGGCGAGCCACUUGGCAGAGCUGCUGCACGAGGAGCUGGUGCUGCGGUGGGAGCAGCUGCUUCUGGAUGAGGCCUGCACUGGGGGCGCGCUGGCCUGGGUUCCUGGAAGGACACCCCAGUUCGGGCAGCUGGUCUACCCUGCUGGAGGCGCCCAGGACAGGCUGCAUUUCCAAGAGGUCGUUCUGACCCCAGGUGACAAUCCCCAAUUCCUUGGGAAACCUGGACGCAUCCAGCUCCAGGGACCUGUCCGGCAAGUGGUGACAAGCACCGUCCAGGGAGAAAGUAAGGCCCUUACAUACACUUUCCUCCCUCAGUGGCUGACCUGCUACCUGACCCCUGACCCUUUCCAUCCCUCCUCAGCUCUGCUGGCCGUCCGCUCUGACUACCACUGUGCCGUGUGGAAGUUUGGUAAACAGUGGCAGCCAACCCUUCUGCAGGCAAUGCAGGUGGAGAAAGGGGCCACAGGGAUCAGCCUCAGCCCUCACCUGCCCGGGGAGCUGGCCAUCUGCAGCCGCUCAGGAGCCGUCUGCCUGUGGAGCCCUGAGGAUGGGUAUUGCCGCUUCCUGUGAAACCCCCCACCCUAACCAACUGAACUCCGCCCUGUUUAGCAUGUCACGACCCUUGAGCCCCUUCCCCAUCAGCCUGUCCCCCUGCCCAUGGCUUGCCUGUCUCCCCAAGGCUGCAGCAAAUCUACAAGGACCCUGAGACCCUCGUGUUCCGGGACUCCUCUUCGUGGCGUUGGGCAGACUUCACUGCGCACCCUCGGGUGCUGACCGUGGGCGACCGCACCGGAGUGAAGAUGCUCGACACUCAGGGCCCGCCGGGCUGUGGUCUGUUGCUUUUUCGUUUGGGGGCAGAGGCUUCGUGCCAGAAAGGGGAACGUGUCCUGCUUACCCAGUACCUGGGGCACUCCAGCCCCAAAUGCCUCCCCCCUACUCUUCAUCUCGUCUGUACCCAGGUGAGUGGCACACAACACCGCCCCGCCCCACCUCUGCUCUGUCUCAGAUGGUCACUAGAGGCUGCUGCUUACCAGCGGCUCUGCUGGGCCCAGACAACCACCCAGCAAACCAAACUCAACCCUGGAUGAAUCUGUGGCCCAAACACGCAGUGGAUCCCACAGUGGGUGCUAACAGGCAGGUGGGGAAGCUCUCCCAGGGCCUCCCCUUAGUAGAGCUUCGAGGUGCAGCCAGGGGUGGAGCAGGGGAGGAGGGGCCUCGGGGUGGGGCUUCCGUGCAGAGCUGGAGAGUUUCUGCUGUGCAGGAGGCGGGGGCUCUGAGGAAGCAGGUCUGUCCUCCACCCGCCCUCCCGGGGACAUUCGUAGGCGUGCCUCGAGCACAGGCUCCCAGGUCAGGAGAGUGGGGGUGGCUGCGGGAAGGCCAGGCAGGUUUCUGCUGGCAAGGCUCCCCCACACCUCUUCUGAGCACCCCUUUCCCACUUGUUCUGUCUGUCCACCGGACUGUCGGUCAGAAUUGGUGAAGGAAGCGGCACCUGUUCAGGGCUGGCAGGUGAGGUCUGAGAGGCACGUGGAGGCUGAUGGGAGAUGCUGCUGCCCCUCAGGGCUCUGCACUCACCUGGAGAGCCACAUGGGGCCUGGAGGGCCACUCCACAGCUCAGCUCCCAAGUUCGGCCACAUCCCCCUUCUUUCUCGGGCCCCAGUUCUCUCUCUACCUAGUGGACGAGCGCCUUCCCCUGGUGCCGAUGCUGAAGUGGAACCAUGGCCUCCCCUCCCCGCUCCUGCUGGCCCGACUGCUGCCUCCGCCCCGGCCCAGCUGCGUGCAGCCCCUGCUCCUCGGAGGCCAGGGUGGGCAGCUCCAGCUGCUGCACCUGGCAGGAGAAGGGGCGUCGGUGCCCCGCCUGGCAGGCCCCCCCCAGUCUCUUCCUUCCAGGAUCGACUCCCUCCCUGCAUUUCCUCUGCUGGAGCCUAAGAUCCAGUGGCGGCUGCAGGAGCGCCUGAAAGCACCGACCAUAGGUCUGGCUGCCGUCGUCCCGCCCUUGCCCUCAGCGCCCACACCAGGCCUGGUGCUCUUCCAGCUCUCGGCGGCGGGAGAUGUCUUCUACCAGCAGCUCCGCCCCCAGGUGGACUCCAGCCUCCGCAGAGAUGCUGGGCCUCCUGGCGACACCCACCCUGACUGCCAUGCCCCCACAGCUUCCUGGACCUCCCAGGACACUGCCGGCUGCAGCCAGUGGCUGAAGGCCCUGCUAAAAGUGCCCCUGGCUCCUCCUGUGUGGACAGCACCCACCUUCCCCCACCACCAGAUGCUGGGCAGCACAGAGCUGCGGAGGGAGGAAGAGGAAGGGCAGCGGCUGGGUGUGCUCCGCAAGGCCAUGGCCCGAGGGCGGCUCCUGCUGCAGAGAGACCUGGGCUCCCUCCCUGCGGCAGAGCCACCCCCUGCACCCGAGUCAGGCCUAGAGGACAAGCUCAGUGAGCGCCUGGGGGAAGCCUGGGCAGGCCGAGGGGCUGCCUGGUGGGAGAGGCAGCAGGGCAGGACCUCGGAGCCCGGGAGACAGACCAGGCGGCCCAAGCGCCGGACCCAGCUGUCCAGCAGCUUUUCGCUCAGUGGCCAUGUGGAUCCCUCAGAGGACACCAGCCCCCCUCAUAGCCCUGAGUGGCCACCUGCUGAUGCUCUGCCCCUGCCCCCCAUGACCCCGCCCUCCCAGGAGUUGACUCCGGAUGCAUGCGCCCAGGGCGUCCCAUCAGAGCAGCGGCAGAUGCUCCGUGACUACAUGGCCAAGCUACCACCCCAGAGGGACACCCCAGGCUGUGCCACCACACCUCCCCACUCCCAGGCCUCCAGCGUCCGGGCCACUCGCUCCCAGCAGCACACACCCGUCCUCUCUAGCUCUCAGCCCCUCCGGAAGAAGCCUCGAAUGGGCUUCUGAGGACACAAGGUGGGCUGCCCUCAAGCCCCAGAGAGCCCCUCAUCCUUCCUCCGGGACCAGAUGUGCCUUCCACAGUUGAAACUUGAGAAGCAGAGCUCGCCACCUUCUGGAGGCCACUGUGAUGAUGAGCCAAGCAAUUUGGAGCCAAGUUGAAGGGACAGGGCAACAAAAUACAGUAGUAGUUUCUUUUGUAUUUUGUAUAUUCGCCUGAAGAUCAUCCCGCAAGGCAGGCUGGAGGUGCCGGUGGGCCUGUGUUGCUGGGAUUUUAGUCUGUGCUGGGAGGCAGGGCUCCGCUGCGCCUCAGCUGUGGGGGCCUCAGGCAGGUCCCUCAGUUCUCACGCCUUCCUGUCCAGUGGAAUGGGGGCCAGUAGUGCUGGCUCCUCGUGUUUGGUGAGGGUGGAGUGAGGCCCCUGCAGAGCUGCUGAUGAGGUGGGCACAGCGGCCGUUGGCAGCUGCUGUUUUGGGUUGCUUUGUCAAUCUCUGCCCCGGUCUGAUGUUUUCUACAGGGAGAUGCCUUGGAUCCAGGUUCAGGGAUGAAAUAAACUUGUCAGCUGAAGAUGAAUUGGAAUGGUCACAUUUUUUAGGCUGGACAGCGUCCCACCACAGCAACUAUCUGACACUGAGCUCAUGCAGAGAGAUGAUGGCUGAUGACCCUUGGGACAUGGGUCUGGCACCUGUGGGCUGUCGAUAGUGCCCUCUGAGCAGAGGGUCACGGUCAUGUCAGUUUGGGGGAAUUCUCUGUGGUGCCUCACAGACUCCCCCCUUUCUUUCCUCCCUCCCCUUCUCAUUUUGAUGUCUAAAGCAUCAAGUCCCUCUUCCUCGGAGUUUCUCUAGCUGCAGUGGAAGAUUCUGUUUUCCUGUGGGGAAAAUGCUCACUUGAGAUGUUGCAGGGACCCGGGUCUGUCUGGUUUCUGAUGACAUAGUAAGAGAAAGGUCUUUUUUCAGGUUGGCUGGUGAAAGGAAUUGCAUGUGACUCACACAAACAGGAGCUAGCCCAAUCAUACACUGACUCGCGUGGGUGUUAAAAUGUUUAUCAUGCCUAAGGGAGACAUUUAUAAUUAAACCAUUUAUGCUACAUAU
This 4784-nucleotide small RNA is filed under the name Pan troglodytes (chimpanzee). RNAcentral's name for it is "retained intron". Lineage: Eukaryota; Metazoa; Chordata; Mammalia; Primates; Hominidae. The record is from RNAcentral.